This 497-nucleotide ribosomal RNA is filed under the name uncultured bacterium. RNAcentral's name for it is "partial 16S ribosomal RNA". It matches the Rfam family "Bacterial small subunit ribosomal RNA", at positions 28 to 507 of the family's 1533-position model. The record is from RNAcentral.
GAUGAACGCUGGCGGCGUGCCUAAUACAUGCAAGUCGAGCGAACGGACGAGAAGCUUGCUUCUCUGAUGUUAGCGGCGGACGGGUGAGUAACACGUGGAUAACCUACCUAUAAGACUGGGAUAACUUCGGGAAACCGGAGCUAAUACCGGAUAAUAUUUUGAACCGCAUGGUUCAAAAGUGAAAGACGGUCUUGCUGUCACUUAUAGAUGGAUCCGCGCUGCAUUAGCUAGUUGGUAAGGUAACGGCUUACCAAGGCAACGAUGCAUAGCCGACCUGAGAGAGGGAUCGGCCACACUGGAACUGAGACACGGUCCAGACUCCUACGGGAGGCAGCAGUAGGGAAUCUUCCGCAAUGGGCGAGAGCCUGACGGAGCAACGCCGCGUGAGUGAUGAAGGUCUUCGGAUCGUAAAACUCUGUUAUUAGGGAAGAACAUAUGUGUAAGUAACUGUGCACAUCUUGACGGUACCUAAUCAGAAAGCCACGGCUAACUACGUG